AGAAAACCAACAAGGGUUCCUUGCAUAACUCAUAUUUGAGCUAGUUUUAGCAAGGAUUAUACCCAUCUAUGUGUAUAUUUUGUAAUUCAGCGUCUUUGUAGCUAUGAUUUUGGCUGUCUUUUAGAGGAAGCCCAAAUCAUAUUCAUCAUUUCUCAAGUUUUAGGGAAGAGAUGAUAGUUUAUAUGUGUACUUGUGAUGGUGUCUUU
Molecule: unclassified non-coding RNA, 206 nt
Filed under: Hevea brasiliensis (rubber tree)
Lineage: Eukaryota; Viridiplantae; Streptophyta; Magnoliopsida; Malpighiales; Euphorbiaceae
Source: RNAcentral